This 64-nucleotide transfer RNA is filed under the name bovine gut metagenome. It matches the Rfam family "tRNA", at positions 6 to 65 of the family's 71-position model. From Rfam's summary of the family: Transfer RNA (tRNA) molecules are approximately 80 nucleotides in length. Their secondary structure includes four short double-helical elements and three loops (D, anti-codon, and T loops). The record is from RNAcentral.
CUCAUAGCUCAGCCGGUAGAGCACUAGACUUUUAAUCUAGGUGUCCCGGGUUCGAACCCCGGUG